AAAUGCUUUUAUUUCUAUUUUUAAAUGAAAUGCAUUGUUAGGUACUUGCAUGAAACCUCGAAAGGCAUUUACGUUCUUUGCUUUAACUCUUCCUUUGUGGCCACAGAAAGCGGGUAGGAAAGAUGAACCGAGAACAGGCGCAGCAGACACAGCCCAGGCAUUGUGCGGAUCCUGCGGCCCCGAGCCCACCUGAGUGACGGUCAGUAGUCGUCGUAGUUGACGCUGGCUCCGUGCCUGAAGCCAUAGGGGCUCCAGGGACCGAUCGCAGCAUCCUCAUCGUGGUGGCGCUGGUGGUAAUCGUAGUAGUCGUGCCCAUUCCGACCUCUGUUUAGCCAAUAGGUGAAGGCAUCCUCAAAUAUCUG
Molecule: long non-coding RNA, 362 nt
Organism: Balaenoptera musculus (blue whale)
Lineage: Eukaryota; Metazoa; Chordata; Mammalia; Artiodactyla; Balaenopteridae
Exons: 4
Source: RefSeq, a predicted model, not a curated record